UACGGGGUGCAGCAGGCGCGAACACUUUACAAUGCGGGAAACCGCGAUAAGGGAACCCCGAGUGCCAGCAUCAAAUGUUGGCUGUCCAGAUGAUUAAAAAUCAUUUGUUAGCAAGGGCCGGGCAAGACCGGUGCCAGCCGCCGCGGUAACACCGGCGGCCCGAGUGGUAGCCGUUUUUAUUGGGUCUAAAGGGUCCGUAGCCGGCCUGAUAAGUCCUUUGGGAAAUCUGGCAGCUUAACUGUCAGGCUUCUAAGGGAUACUGUCAGGCUUGGGACCGGAAGAGGUAAGGGGUACUCCAGGGGUAGGAGUGAAAUCUUGUAAUCCCUGGGGGACCAUCUGUGGCGAAGGCGCCUUACCAGAACGGGUCCGACGGUGAGGGACGAAAGCUAGGGGAGCAAACCGGAUUAGAUACCCGGGUAGUCCUAGCUGUAAACGAUGCUCGCUAGGUGUCAGACACGGUGCGACCGUGUUUGGUGCCGCAGGGAAG
RNAcentral lists this ribosomal RNA (487 nucleotides) under uncultured Methanosarcinales archaeon. Its description in RNAcentral is "bacterial SSU rRNA". It matches the Rfam family "Archaeal small subunit ribosomal RNA", at positions 324 to 811 of the family's 1478-position model. Lineage: Archaea; Methanobacteriati; Methanobacteriota; Methanomicrobia; Methanosarcinales. The record is from RNAcentral.